UUCUUUCCUUCCCCGAGCACACCCACACACAUGAAGGACUACCAACUAGCCACCUCCAACCUUUCCUCUCUCUCUCUCUCUCUAAUCUCCCUCAUCCCUCUCGGACUCUCUCACAUCUCUCAUCCCUCUUCUUCCUCUGCAAGUGCAGACACUGAGACCACCACCACUACCACCGUAUGUUAACAAAUCCGGCGAGUUCCAUGAUUUCCGAUUAGGUGAGCCUUGGAGUCACUUUUCUUUGCCUCAAAUUGAUGUUUGGUUUGAUUGCUAAGUUUGUAUACUCGUUGUUGUGAAGGAUCAACACGAAAUCGACUCGGAGUAACAAACCCAGUUUUUCGAUGACUUUUGAGUGGUUUUCCAGCCAAUUUCGGCCACGGCCAAGAACACCAGUGAAAUCAGCUAACCCAUGGCCUAAAACCCGGUUGACCAGACCCGGUGGAAUAUUUUUUAGAAUAUUCUGUUAGGGAAUAUUCCUUAUGUUGACUUUUACAAAAUUUGCUCAGCACCCGCCUUAGGGUAUUUUGACACCCUGAGUCCAAAUCCGGGUUCUGUUUUCCCAAAUUCAAUCAUUUUAGUAGGGUUUUACUAAUUGGUCCCUAUAUGUGCUUAGGUGUGUUUAUCAGUGGCAAUUCCGUCCUCCCUAGUUCGAACGUCUCUUCGAUGAUGGAUUAUCUGAGAUGUAGUGCCUACGGGCGAAUGAUAUAUAUAUGCCUUCAGGCGGGCGAUGUAGGGCAUUCGGGCAGAAGAUUUAUAUAUGCCUUCAGGCAGGCGAUGUAGGGCCUUUGGGCGGAAGAUUUAUUUAUGCGUUCGGGGGCGCGAUGUAGGGCCUUCGAGUGGAAGAUUUAUAUAUGCCUUUGAGCGGAUGAUGUAGGGCCUUUAAGCGAUUGUGAUACCACUACUAAGCACACUAUAUACGAUAUAUGUUUUAUGGUAGGCUAGGGUUUUCGGAAAACCUAUUAAUUAUUAUGCUAUAUGAGUUUUCUAAAACUGGGGGUUAGUAGGUUUAGGUUGAAGAAUAAUUGUUUUCGUAUUACUUAUAUAUAAACUUGGUCCACUCAUACUUUGUUUUGCGUACCCUUCAGGACUUAGAAUCGAGGCGUACAAUCCUAGCGUCAGGGUACUUCCGCAUCGAUAUCUUCGAGUCCUCUCAGUGUAGGACCCAUUCCUUUGUUCGUACCUUUUCGUAGUAUUUCUUCUACAGUAUUCUUGAUUAGUUGUAUGCUCUGAACACAUUCCCACUUUUGCAUAUUCUUUAUUAGUAAAAUUUACGUGUUUUAUUUA
This is a long non-coding RNA of Pyrus x bretschneideri (Chinese white pear), 1281 nucleotides long. RefSeq lists it as uncharacterized. The transcript has 3 exons. Lineage: Eukaryota; Viridiplantae; Streptophyta; Magnoliopsida; Rosales; Rosaceae. The record is from RefSeq and is a predicted model, not a curated record.